Molecule: transfer RNA, 74 nt
Filed under: Chloroflexi bacterium ADurb.Bin120
Lineage: Bacteria; Bacillati; Chloroflexota
Also listed under: 5 other names
Description: tRNA-Val
Rfam family: tRNA
About the family: Transfer RNA (tRNA) molecules are approximately 80 nucleotides in length. Their secondary structure includes four short double-helical elements and three loops (D, anti-codon, and T loops).
Source: RNAcentral
GGGUGGUUAGCUCAGUUGGUUAGAGCGUCGCGUUGACAUCGCGAAGGUCGUAGGUUCGAGUCCUAUAUCACCCA